Long non-coding RNA from Dermacentor silvarum, 326 nucleotides. RefSeq lists it as uncharacterized. Lineage: Eukaryota; Metazoa; Arthropoda; Arachnida; Ixodida; Ixodidae. The record is from RefSeq and is a predicted model, not a curated record. The transcript is spliced from 2 exons.
GGUACAUGGCUCACACAGUUGCAAAAACAAACUGUUUAUUUUUUUAUCUUUUCGCAGGCACACACUGACCCACCAAUGUGGUACACGGCUCUACAAAACCUUGCUAUCAGGUUAUGCACAAGAACUCCGUGCGAACCCCAAAAGACAUUUCUUGGCUUCUGCGGUAUUGGAUACACGUGUAGGCGAUGGAAGCACGAUUACCAAUGCCUGUCCAUAUUUGACUUGGACUAAAUAUAAUGAACAAGAAAAAGACUUGGUGUUUGAUGCCACCGCGGAUUCACACUGAACAUGGCUAAAUUUACAAUAAAUGAUGUGCCCUUACUGCA